This 1314-nucleotide ribosomal RNA is filed under the name Triticum aestivum (bread wheat). RNAcentral describes it as "partial small subunit ribosomal RNA". Lineage: Eukaryota; Viridiplantae; Streptophyta; Magnoliopsida; Poales; Poaceae. The record is from RNAcentral.
AUGUCGGGAUCCGCCACCUCGGGCCCCUCCACGGCCAGCUAUCUGCCGGCCUCCCUGGCGGCCCUCCUCUCCCGGCCCCUCGACUCCGCCGCGGCUGCUUCACUCCCGAUCGGGACGAGGAGCGUCGGCUCCUUCUUCUCCUCGUCGCCGGGAACCACGCUGGUGGUCCGCACUUCCAGCGCCACGACGGGCGACUCCCUGCCCGCCUUCGCCAGCGCCAACGCUGUUGCCCCGAUGGAGGCCUCUACCUCGGCCCUGAUGGCCGGUCUCGCCGCGUCGGGCGCGGCUCCUGCGCCAUCAAUCUCCGCGGCUGUGCCUGUCGCCACUGCCCCUAUGGCGCCUUUGCCUCCGGCAGUCUCCACGGGUUCUCUACCGCCGCCGCCGUUUCACUUCGUAAACCUUAUCACCAUCAAGUUGUCGGCGGACAACUACAUCUUCUGGCGUGCGCAGGUCCUCCCGCUUCUUGGGAGUCAUUACCUGCUUGGCUACGUCGACGGUUCUCUCCCCUGUCCUCCUGCGCUUAUUGACAGCGUGCACGGCCCGGUCUACAAUCCGGCGCACCGUGUUUGGAUGGGGCAGGACCAAGCGAAUCUCUCCUCCAUCCAGGGGUCGCUCACUCCGGCCGUUGCCGGUCUUGUUGUCUUCGCCAAGACGUCUCAUGAGGCUUGGACCAUCCUUGAGCGCUCCUUUGCAGCACAGUCGCAGGCUCGUGUCUCCUCGCUCCAUCGUCAACUUGGGGAGUGUCAGAAACUUGACUCCACUGCCACCGAGUUCUACAACAAGGUCAAGGGCCUCGCCGACACGCUGGCUUCUAUUGGACAGCCCCUUACUGACUCCGAGUUCAACUCGUUUAUUGUCAAUGGUCUUGAUGAGGAGUAUGAUGCCUUAGUCGAGAUCAUUAACGAGCGGGGCAACUCCACACCCAUGAUGGUGCACGAGGUCUUUUCCCGUCUCCUUCUCACUGAGCAACGGGUUGAGACGCGUCGCUCCAGGAGCAGCGGCUCCCUCUCGGCCAACACCGCCACGAAGGGUGGCCGCGCAUCUUCAUCAUCUCGGGCCCCUUCGGGGCUGCCACCACCGCCCACUUCGGCCCCCCCUCCUACUGCAACAUUACCGGGGGCUAGCGGUCCUCGUGUGUGUCAGCUUUGUGGUCGUGAUGGACACUGGGCCUCUAAGUGUCACAAGCGCUUUCAGAAGAGUUUUCUGGGCCUCGGCAAUGAUGGCAAGGACACGCAACUUUGCGCGCCAAGUGGCCAUGGCAUAAAAACCGACGGCCACAAAGCAGCAAGGGCACACUCAGUCCUACUCUGUUGA